This 100-nucleotide signal recognition particle RNA is filed under the name Actinosynnema mirum DSM 43827. RNAcentral describes it as "SRP RNA; RNA component of signal recognitionparti cle". It matches the Rfam family "Bacterial small signal recognition particle RNA". Rfam says of the family: The signal recognition particle (SRP) is a universally conserved ribonucleoprotein involved in the co-translational targeting of proteins to membranes. Archaeal SRP consists of a 7S RNA and homologues of the eukaryotic SRP19 and SRP54 proteins. In most bacteria, the SRP consists of a 4.5S RNA and the Ffh protein (a homologue of the eukaryotic SRP54 protein). The record is from RNAcentral. Lineage: Bacteria; Bacillati; Actinomycetota; Actinomycetes; Pseudonocardiales; Pseudonocardiaceae.
GUAGGCGGACCUCGUGUGACGCUAUCCCUCGAACCUCCCCAGGGCCGGAAGGCAGCAAGGAUAAGUGGGCUCUGGUGGGUGCGCGAGGUCCCCUGAUCUC